CCACCUCGUCCUUAUCACCCGAUCCGAUAAUCUCUUUCAUUUGGCUUUCACUUAUCCAAGUUUUCUUUUAUCCGAAACAUUGAAAACCCUAGACGUUUCUCUGCAGAAAAAUCCUUCCACCAACCAUGAUCUGACCAAAGCCUCGUAAAAGUCUUGAAUUCGAAUGGAGAAUCAGGGAUUCUUCUCAUCCUCAUCAGGUAAUGUUCUCUCAGAGACACCUAAAUUUUCCCAGUUUCAAAACUAUUUAUCUUUUUAUCCUUCACUUCACCAGAAAUUUCUUUACAUCAUUCGAUCGAGAAGAGCAUAGAAAAACCUAUCCAUCUACUAAAUCCCCGUAAACCAAAUCGAUAACCCUCCAUCCCCGAAUCUCUCUCCCAAUCUCUGCUCAAACAAAGAAGAAGAAAGAAGAAGUAAAUUAUGUUGAUGAAGAGGGAGAAAUGGUGAAGGCCUCGUUUUUCAUUCUUCUGCUUAAGGGUUUUCAGCAACAGAAGAUGAUGACUACAAGUAUGGAGAUGAAGAUGGAGAUUUUGUGAAAUAAUAAGAUGAAGUUAUGGUGACAAUUUCCUAACAAGUUAUGCCGGAACCUGUAACCUGUUUUGCAAUGCCUUAGCGAAUCGAAGAGACAGUAACGAUUGUGAGCUUUUCUGGCAAGGCAAGUGAUGGUGACGGAGCUUAAAUGGAGGCUAAAUUUGUUAAAUACUUAACUGUGCAUUGAUGGAAACUAAUUUAUAAAUGAACUACAGAAUAGGGUUGCUACCUCCUCCUUACAAUUGUAUUUUGGAGGCAUUUUAAGGAAUCUUCCAAGGAUUUAAGAGUUCUUGAAAGACCCAUCUUUUGCUGCCAUAUGCCCCUCACAUCCUCUUGUUCUUACGAGAACAUAUCCUCAAUUUAAUUAGUUUGAAUAUAAACUGCUUGUUGUUGUGUAAGGUAAAUUUUAUUAAGUUGCUGACAGUGUCUAUGCUUUAUGCUUGAGCAGGAAUCGAUGAUGUUUUUGUAAUGACUGUGAUUGGGGUACUUGGAGAGAUCCAAAUUGGAUGAAAUGCCCAGCGGCGGUGUCCUUUGGUUCUGGAGGAGAACUUGUUUCAUAUAAAAAUAGUCAUUCAGCUACCAAUCCACCUACUGGAGGUUCCGAGGAUACAGGGAUUAUUCGACCUUCCCUUAAUGUAUUGAUUGAUUUUUGAGUAACUGAGGGGAGCUGUUGCAAGUGUUUUUGUUGAUUUUACUACGCCACCCAGCAAUGCCGAAUAUAACUGCCUCAUUAAUGUUAUACUGGAUCCAAGUGGAUGUUGUACGAUGCAAUACUUUGGAGAUGUGUCACUAGGUCAUAUGAUUAUGAGGCAUAAAACUUUUGUAAUCCUAUAGGAGAGACUAAAUCAAAUGUAGAGUAAGUGGCAGUCAUAGUAGAUUGAUUUGUUCAGUGUGAUUUUGAGUUGGAAAUGCAGGAUGAAUUUAUCCUUUUUUGGUUGUAAUGUAAAACUUCAUCUUUUAAAUGUAAUUUAUACCAGAUUUCAGAUU
Long non-coding RNA from Papaver somniferum (opium poppy), 1515 nucleotides. RefSeq lists it as uncharacterized. The record is from RefSeq and is a predicted model, not a curated record. The transcript is spliced from 5 exons. Lineage: Eukaryota; Viridiplantae; Streptophyta; Magnoliopsida; Ranunculales; Papaveraceae.